CGGUGUUUAACUGGCGUGAUGUGGGACGUCCUACCGGUGGGCUUAGCCUCGCGAGGGGCGGCCCAACUAAUAUCCCGUCGCGGUGCUCUUUACUGAGUGUCGAGUCGGGCCGGUACGUUUACUUUGAACAAAUUAGAGUGCUUAAAGCAGGCUAUCCUCGCCUGAAUACUGCGUGCAUGGAAUAAUGGAAUAGGACCUCGGUUCUAUUUUGUUGGUUUUCGGAACCCCGAGGUAAUGAUUAAUAGGGACAGAUGGGGGCAUUCGUAUUGCGACGUUAGAGGUGAAAUUCUUGGAUCGUCGCAAGACGGACAGAAGCGAAAGCAUUUGCCAAAAAUGUUUUCAUUAAUCAAGAACGAAAGUUAGAGGUUCGAAGGCGAUCAGAUACCGCCCUAGUUCUAACCAUAAACGAUGCCAGCUAGCGAUCCGCCGAAGUUCCUCCGAUGACUCGGCGGGCAGCUUCCGGGAAACCAAAGCUUUUGGGUUCCGGGGGAAGUAUGGUUGCAAAGCUGAAACUUAAGGGAAUUGACGGAAGGGCACCACCAGGAGUGGAGCCUGCGGCUUAAUUUGACUCAACACGGGAAACCUCACCAGGCCCAGACACCGGAAGGAUUGACAGAUUGAUAGCUCUUUCUUGAUUCGGUGGGUGGUGGUGCAUGGCCGUUCUUAGUUGGUGGAGCGAUUUGUCUGGUUAAUUCCGAUAACGAACGAGACUCUAGCCUGCUAAAUAGGCGUACCUUAUGGUAUCGCGAAGGCCCCCGGCUUCGGCCGGUGGGUUUUUACUACCAACGUACAAACAAAUCUUCUUAGAGGGACAGGCGG
This 819-nucleotide ribosomal RNA is filed under the name uncultured eukaryote. RNAcentral describes it as "SSU rRNA". It matches the Rfam family "Eukaryotic small subunit ribosomal RNA", at positions 629 to 1426 of the family's 1831-position model. The record is from RNAcentral.